GUCUGUUUUCUUUACCAUAGUAACACCACAAAGAAAGCUGUCCCCUUUUUCUGAUUGUUUGUGCCUCCUCUUUAAUACAUGUGACUUGUAUGUGGCAGUGCAAGCGUUGUUCCAUCAGGGAGAGUAGUAGAUUGACAAGGAGUUUCUGCGAAUCACCACAAAGCCUCUGCUAUCUACUUUCUUUGCCGAGCUUGACCAAUACGCGCCACGCUUAAUGGAAAUUUUUCUGACCAAAGGAGGGACACAGGGAAAGAAAAUAAGAGGUCUCAUGCUUGCCAUCUCCAAGGUUUGUAUUAGGAUUGAGUAGACGUUGUCAUAGGCAGCAAAAUACCUUUUAUGCAUCUUGAAGUCCUUUUGCAUCUACCUAAACGAAGACUAUGAGAAGUUAAUAAAGGAGUACUUGGAUACGGACAGCGAGGCAAAAAGCUGCAUGGAGCAAACUGUGAUGGGGAUGUACGUCAUUCAGAAGGAGGUUGCUGAACCUGAAGAUGACCCAGAGGACAUUGGUGUCCUGAUUGAGGGUGUGGAGGCUCUCACUGAUUUGGGUAACAUUGCACAACCAUGUGC
Molecule: long non-coding RNA, 567 nt
Organism: Oreochromis niloticus (Nile tilapia)
Lineage: Eukaryota; Metazoa; Chordata; Actinopteri; Cichliformes; Cichlidae
Exons: 4
Source: RefSeq, a predicted model, not a curated record